UACGGAGGAUGCAAGCGUUAUCCGGAAUGAUUGGGCGUAAAGCGUCCGCAGGUGGCUAUGUAAGUCUGCUGUUAAAGAGUGAGGCUCAACCUCAUAAGAGCAGUGGAAACUACAUGGCUAGAGUGCGUUCGGGGCAGAGGGAAUUCCUGGUGUAGCGGUGAAAUGCGUAGAUAUCAGGAAGAACACCGGUGGCGAAAGCGCUCUGCUAAGCCGCAACUGACACUGAGGGACGAAAGCUAGGGGAGCGAAUGGG
RNAcentral lists this ribosomal RNA (253 nucleotides) under uncultured bacterium. RNAcentral's name for it is "partial 16S ribosomal RNA". It matches the Rfam family "Bacterial small subunit ribosomal RNA", at positions 524 to 776 of the family's 1533-position model. The record is from RNAcentral.